GUGUCAGCAGCCGCGGUAAUACGAAGGGUGCAAGCGUUGUUCGGAAUUACUGGGCGUAAAGCGUGCGUAGGCGGUUUGAUAAGUUGGGAGUGAAAUCCCGGGGCUUAACUCCGGAAUUGCUUUCAAAACUAUCAAUCUAGAAUAUGGCAGGGGACAGUGGAAUUCCUAGUGUAGAGGUGAAAUUCGUAGAUAUUAGGAGGAACACCAGUGGCGAAAGCGACUGUCUGGACCAUUAUUGACGCUGAGGCACGAAAGCGUGGGGAGCAAACAGGAUUAGAAACCCCUGUAGUCC
Molecule: ribosomal RNA, 292 nt
Filed under: uncultured bacterium
Lineage: Bacteria
Description: partial 16S ribosomal RNA
Rfam family: Bacterial small subunit ribosomal RNA
Source: RNAcentral